Molecule: transfer RNA, 72 nt
Filed under: Marmota monax (woodchuck)
Lineage: Eukaryota; Metazoa; Chordata; Mammalia; Rodentia; Sciuridae
Description: tRNA.Gly
Source: RNAcentral
GAGGUUGUGGCUCAGUGGUAGAUUGCUCGCCUACCAUUGCAUGAGGCACUGGGUUUGAUCCUCAGCACCACA